RNAcentral lists this long non-coding RNA (2035 nucleotides) under Theobroma cacao (cacao). RNAcentral describes it as "long non-coding RNA (TCAC_LNC002148)". Lineage: Eukaryota; Viridiplantae; Streptophyta; Magnoliopsida; Malvales; Malvaceae. The record is from RNAcentral.
AAAUAAAUUUGGGUGUCUAAAACAUUUAUUAAAAAUGAUAUUGCAACUAUUUGAAUAAAAUAAAAAUAUUCAAUAAAAUAUUCUAAUUUCUUGUAAAACAAUAUUUAUAGAGUUAUCGGUAAAUAAUUUUUAUAAUGUAAAAGCUAAAUAAAUUCACACGUACUAUAAUACAAAUAACUGGGAUAUGAAAUUUACUUUACAGUGACUCGUGGGCCCACAAGGAACAAAAGUGCACAAAGGCAGUAAACCUACAGUUUUUAGAGUAGUAAAGCCGACUAUAAUCCUUGAUGAUAUCUGCUAUCCACAAGCUACCUUGGGCCUGAAAUGGUUGGAAAGGAGGGUGGUGAGAUUAUAAAAUCUCAGUGAGUAAACAGAUACCAUCUAAACCAUCUAAAGUCGAGUAAAUGGAGACAGAUAAAACAGUUUAACAUACUGAAAUUCAUCACCUUUCAACUUAUUUCAACCAAAUAAAAUCAAUUCAUAUAAAUCGAGUAAUUAACAUGGCUUAUGAAUUUCUUAAAACUUUGUCUCGUGCCAAAAUCAUUAUCAUACUCAAUCAUCAGGGAUACCUUGGCCGAUGGCUAUCCCAAACCGAGUUCGCCAAGGCUAUUAAAAAGUUAUGUACUCAUAAAUCAUGUUUUUAUUUUGAAAAUAUAGUCGUUCCUUGGCGUUGGCUGAGUUCCCCCUCAUGUGGUGGUUUGACUUGAAGUGACCUCUAAAAUGUUAGCCUCAGGAGUUAUCCACCCGCGCCUCUCAUACUGAGGUAAGAUAUAACGGGGUUUACCAUGCCCUUCUAAUAGGUUGGUUCAAGAAAACCCGCCCACUGCAGUAAGCUAAUAAUCAUCCCACCAAUCAAUAAAAUUCAAUAACAUGAUAUGAUAAUUAUUGUAAUUCACAGCCUUUCAAGGCUAAAUACACAGUUCAUAUAUUUCAACACAAAUACCAAUUCCACCAUUCAUGCCAAUAUUGCCAUAAGCCAAUCAAUUAUAACCAUAAAUUCACAAUACAUCAAAUGGUCUCCAAUUACUCUAUUUGAAAAGCCAUUAUUAAAUUUUAAAACAAUUUUAUGAAAUCAUUUCAUUAAAUCACAUUUUGUUUAUAAAAUCGAAAAAUUUAUCAUUUAAUUCAUUUUUCAUAAAAUUCACAAAAUCGGAUAAAACAUACUUUAGAUAAUUAAGACGAUAGUAAGGUUACUCACAGAACUAGGAGUUCGAUAUACUCCUAUUUUCGAUCUUCAGGCACAAUCUCUUUACCCUUGUUAGAGGGCUCACCACCUAUACAUCAUACGUGACACGAAUUUCAAGAAAUUGUGUCAAUUUAUCAUAAACUAUUUCAGGCUCUAUAAAUCUAUAUGAACGCACGAAAUGUGAUGCAAAAUAUCUGAAUAGCCGUUUAAAUACGGUAUUCGACCUAAUUUGCAUUAUUCUCGAUGUAAUUGGUUAAAACCUUCAAUCUAACUCCAAAUCAAUUUCUUUCACUUUCUACACUCCAAUUAUACUUAAAAUACCUCAAUGACUGUGAAUAUGAUUCAAUUUAUCAGUUCGAACCAUAACUCGCACAUGUCUAUAUAUUAGGUAAAAAUUAAGAUUUUCAUGCCAAAAUUUUUCAUUAAAUUUCUAGCCUCAUCAAUCAUUAAAUACCACCAAAAUAUCAUGAAAUAUCAUCAAUUUCAGCCUCAAUAUCUUCCCUAGAAAAUUCGGCCUCUUGUGGGUUUGUGAAGAACAAAGUGAUUCCUUACUAGAUUUUCAUAUUUUCCAUUACCAAACAACCAAAAACACUUAAUUAGCUUGAAAUCUAGCAAAAUCAAUGCUCAAAACCUCUCCUCUCAAAUUCGGCCAACAUGGGUUCAUCAUGCAAACUUGAGUUCUAAGCAUGAAAAAUGAAAAAGAAAGCAUGGGUAGUGUAAAUCACAAGAUAAAAUCACAAAAUUUUACCUUUAUUAGCUUAAUCCCUUGAAAUCCUACACUUUUUCUUCAAUUUUCCCACCUAAGUUUUGUGUUCUUUCCUUUCCUUUUCACUUCAUGCUUUGGCCGGC